AACGAACGCUGGCGGCAGGCCUAACACAUGCAAGUCGAACGCCCUAGCAAUAGGGAGUGGCAGACGGGCGAGUAACGCGUGGGAACGUGCCUUUCGGUUCGGAAUAACUCAGGGAAACUUGAGCUAAUAGCGGAUACGCCCUUAGGGGGAAAAAUUUAUUGCCGAAGGAUCGGCCCGCGUCCGAUCAGCUAGUUGGUGAGGUAAAGGCUCACCAAGGCGACGAUCGGCAGCUGGUCUGAGAGGAGGAUCAGCCACACUUGGCCUGGGACACGGCCCAGACUCCGACAGGAGGCAGCAGUGGGGAAUAUUGGACCAUGGGCGCAAGCCUGAUCCAGCCAUGCCGCGUGAGUGAUGAAGGCCCUAGGGUUGUAAAGCUCUUUCGCCAGGGACGAUAAUGACGGUACCUGGAUAAGAAGCCCCGGCUAACUUCGUGCCAGCCGCCGCAGUAA
This 449-nucleotide ribosomal RNA is filed under the name uncultured bacterium. Its description in RNAcentral is "partial 16S ribosomal RNA". It matches the Rfam family "Bacterial small subunit ribosomal RNA", at positions 29 to 523 of the family's 1533-position model. The record is from RNAcentral.